UUUGAUCCCCUUUGAAGUCACAUUUGAAGCUCAAUUAAAUCCUUAAGAUUUCCUUUAAUUGGUGAAAGCAGCAACAAAUUAAUUAUGUUCACUGACAGAACACUGACAUGCAAUUCCUAUAAUCAAGCUGGACCAGUUUCCUUGUCAAGAAUUGUCAGCCAGAGAAAAUAAAAAAAUAAAAAACAAUCAAAAAAAUACAACAUGUUCUAAAAUCCAGCUUCCUCAGUCAUCAUAUGUUGUUGUUAAUGGAAAUCAUGACCUGUAGGCAGACCAGCAGCAUCACAUAUGCUUGCAUCUACAUCCGGAGUGACAAUUUCAUUGAGCAACACUCCCGCCUCCAACUCUUCAUACAACUGUCUCAAACAGGUCAUGCCAAACAGAACGUGGACAUCUUCAUCAUGAGCAAACGACGUCGCCUCAUAUUUUUAUUCUUAUUGCUGUGGGUAUCAGGUCUAACUGAUGGGGGGGAAGUCAAGCAGACCUCCAUGCUCUGGAAAAACCAGGGUGAUAAUGUAUCUAUAGAAUGCAGUCAUACCUAUGGCAGUAGCUAUUUCCAAAUGUACUGGUACAGACAGCUGCCUGGAGAACUAAUGAAACAAAUGGUUUUUACUACUGCAAACUCCCAACCUGACUUUGAACCAGACUUCAGGGAUGAAAAAUUCUCAACCAUCAAGCGUGACGCUCACAGUGGGACACUGAUAGUGAAGAAUUUGGUGCCAGGAGAUCAAGGCUUGUAUUUCUGUGCUGUCAGUAUGCACAGUGAUACAGCCACACUCAACACUCGUACAAAAACUCCAGAUCAUAAACUGUAGGGGGAUGUCAAGGACCACAAAUACUCACAACUGAACGUGGAUUCAUCGUGUGAAAGGUGACACCACAGAUAACAAGAUGACAGAGCUCCACACAGAGCAGUGACACAACCACCUGCAACCCUUCAUAGCAAUAUAAAUUCAUACUGUCAUUUAUUCGUGUUUCAAAGACUACUACAACACAGACAUUAUCAAACACGUUCACCUCUAUUGUUUGAUGCUUCUGCUAUGGAUGAGAGGUGACUUUGACUAAGGUCCCAUCUAGAGCGUUCAGUAUUUCAGGACCUUUUGCAUUACUUGUUUUUUCUGCAAAAAACUAAAACAGUAUAGGAUAACAGCUCUUUGAGAUUCAUGCACUUCCACAACUUUGUGACAGCAGAAACCUGGCCAUUUCUAAUGUUUCUGUGACUGACAGUGCUGUGUAUUUCUGUGCUGCUAGUCAGCACAUAAAUACAGAUUCCACUGAAGUCAAUACA
Molecule: non-coding RNA, 1285 nt
Organism: Haplochromis burtoni (Burton's mouthbrooder)
Lineage: Eukaryota; Metazoa; Chordata; Actinopteri; Cichliformes; Cichlidae
Source: the annotation of a RefSeq genome assembly